CCUACGGGAGGCAGCAGUAAGGAAUAUUGGUCAAUGGAGGGAACUCUGAACCAGCCAUCCCGCGUGCAGGAUGAAGGGGCUCUGCCCUGUAAACUGCUUUUGAAUGGGACGAAAAAGCCUCACUUGUGAGGAACUGACGGUACCAUUAGAAUAAGCACCGGCUAACUCCGUGCCAGCAGCCGCGGUAAU
Molecule: ribosomal RNA, 189 nt
Filed under: uncultured bacterium
Lineage: Bacteria
Description: partial 16S ribosomal RNA
Rfam family: Bacterial small subunit ribosomal RNA
Source: RNAcentral